CGGACGGGUGAGUAAUGUAUAGGAACUUGCCUAGUAGUGGGGGAUAACGUGUGGAAACGCACGCUAAUACCGCAUACGCUCUACGGAGGAAAGCGGGGGAUCUUCGGACCUCGUGCUACUAGAUGGGCCUAUAUCAGAUUAGCUAGUCGGUAAGGUAAUGGCUUACCAAGGCGACGAUCUGUAGCUGGUUUGAGAGAAUGAUCAGCCACACUGGGACUGAGACACGGCCCAG
This 232-nucleotide ribosomal RNA is filed under the name uncultured bacterium. RNAcentral describes it as "partial 16S ribosomal RNA". It matches the Rfam family "Bacterial small subunit ribosomal RNA", at positions 99 to 334 of the family's 1533-position model. The record is from RNAcentral.